RNAcentral lists this long non-coding RNA (1249 nucleotides) under Chinchilla lanigera (long-tailed chinchilla). RNAcentral describes it as "lncRNA (ENSCLAG00000022727.1)". The record is from RNAcentral. Lineage: Eukaryota; Metazoa; Chordata; Mammalia; Rodentia; Chinchillidae.
AUGCAGGAGAACCCAGUUCUUUCUACCCCUGGGAGACAAAUGUGUCAUUCUCCAGCAACUUCACCAGGCCGAGCCUCUAACCUGCAGAGACUGCCCUGUUCUCCCCAGUCCCCUUCGCAUUUGGAGAUACCACGGUGCAAGGGGAAGCUCAAGGCGAUGGGCUGGAGGUCUGUCUGGAUCAUUUGGAGGCCUGCAUUUCAGGACUUGCACUGUAGGAAUCACUUCCGUGGUCCAGGAAGAGUAGGCUGGGAUCUGGAGCUUCUAUCCCUUGCUAGUGGAGUGGGAUCCUCAGAAGCUCCCUCUGAGCUACUGCCAAUGUUCCUGCCAAGGACAUCAAUUCCAGGAUCCUGGCAAAGACCUGUUUGGAGCCCUGCGUGAUCGGUGCAGUCGCCUCGCCUGCGUCCUGCUCCCUCACUGGGAAGCAAAGUCUGCGAGAGACUGGCCAGACCGGCUGGACGGUUGCCUUUGAGCCCCAUCCUGUUGUGAGGACUGGCAAAAACGACCCCACGUCAGCCUUGGCUCCAGCCCCGAGGUGCCUGCCAGCCCGGUGGCAGACCCUACCCCUGCCAAUCACGGUCCCCUUGGUGACUCUGUUCCUGAGCUCGCCAAAAGCAGAAUCCGUGUAUAAUGAACAAGUUUCAUGUUCAACAUUUUAAGAGUCUAUUUAUGAAUCCCGAUAAUUAGCCCUUUGUCUGCAAUUCUGGCGAUGAUGAUUAGAACUCCAUCUCACGUUAUUAGCGUCGCCCCCCCAACCCAUCCUCCUUGCCCUCAGGAUGGCAAACGCGAAGGUACCUGAAAGGCAAAGGAGAGGGGCAGUUUGGGGGGUUCAAGAUCUCUUCCCCGACUUACCCUCCGGCAUCCUUCUUUCUUUGAUCCAUUUUUCCUCUGACUUCCUCUGAUUUCAGACUUCAUAGUCUCCCUAGCUUUUGUUCUUAAACUUGUUCCUCUGCUUAACUCUCACUCUCACCUCCCAAGGUUGCAUUUUUUACCUAAUGUCUUCCACAUGAUAUUUGUACCUUUGGCAGAAUCCCAUCAGGAUGCUAUGAGGUUUAAGAAUCUUUCCAAACGAAUCAUUCCCAGAAUCAAAAUAUUAUGAGGGAGGCCAAAUUAUCUCUAAUUAUAACCUCCAGAAAACUAGAGAACUUUCCCAAUGAACAGAACCAGGGGAAGCAACCUACAGAAAUAUUUGCAAGAAAAGUAAUAUUCUUUUUUUUUAAAGCGAUCAAAUCAUGUAAGCAUACAAAUAAAU